This 402-nucleotide ribosomal RNA is filed under the name Bacteroidota bacterium. Its description in RNAcentral is "Bacteroidetes bacterium partial 16S ribosomal RNA". It matches the Rfam family "Bacterial small subunit ribosomal RNA", at positions 355 to 776 of the family's 1533-position model. The record is from RNAcentral. Lineage: Bacteria; Pseudomonadati; Bacteroidota.
UGGGGAAUUUUGCACAAUGGGGGAAACCCUGAUGCAGCGACGCCGCGUGAUUUAGAAGGCCUUCGGGUUGUAAAAAUCUUUUGUAUAGGAAGAAAAUGACAGUACUAUACGAAUAAGGACCGGCUAAUUACGUGCCAGCAGCCGCGGUAAUACGUAGGUCCCGAGCGUUGUCCGGAUUUAUUGGGCGUAAAGCGAGCGCAGGCGGUUAGAUAAGUCUGAAGUUAAAGGCAGUGGCUCAACCAUUGUAGGCUUUGGAAACUGUUUAACUUGAGUGCAGAAGGGGAGAGUGGAAUUCCAUGUGUAGCGGUGAAAUGCGUAGAUAUAUGGAGGAACACCGGUGGCGAAAGCGGCUCUCUGGUCUGUAACUGACGCUGAGGCUCGAAAGCGUGGGGAGCGAACAGG